GACGAACGCUGGCGGCGCGCUUAACACAUGCAAGUCGAACGAUGAAGCCGGAGCUUGCUCUGGUGAAUUAGUGGCGAACGGGUGAGUAACAGGUGAGUAACCUGCCCUUGACUAUGGGAUAACUGCUAGAAAUGGUAGCUAAUACCGGAUACGACCCUCGGAGCCAUCUCCAGGGGGUUGAAAGAAUGUCGGUCAAGGAUGGACUCGCGGCCUUUCAGCUAGUUGGUGGGGUAAUGGCUGGCCAAGGCGACGACGGGUAGCCGGCCUGAGAGGGUGACCGACCACCCUGGGACUGAGACACGGCCCAGACUCCUACGGGAGGCAGCAGUGGGGAAUAUUGCACAAUGGGCGCAAGCCUGAUGCAGCAACGCCGCGUGAGGGAUGACGGCCUUCGGGUUGUAAACCUCUUUUAGUAGGGAAGAAGCGAAAGUGACGGUACCUGCAGAAAAAGCACCGGCUAACUACGUGCCAGCAGCCGCCGCGG
RNAcentral lists this ribosomal RNA (484 nucleotides) under uncultured bacterium. RNAcentral describes it as "partial 16S ribosomal RNA". It matches the Rfam family "Bacterial small subunit ribosomal RNA", at positions 28 to 523 of the family's 1533-position model. The record is from RNAcentral.